RNAcentral lists this ribosomal RNA (250 nucleotides) under uncultured bacterium. RNAcentral's name for it is "partial 16S ribosomal RNA". It matches the Rfam family "Bacterial small subunit ribosomal RNA", at positions 355 to 622 of the family's 1533-position model. The record is from RNAcentral.
CAAGGAAUCUUCCGCAAUGGGCGAAAGCCUGACGGAGCAACGCCGCGUGCAGGAUGAAGCAGCUUCGCUGUGUAAACUGCUGUCAGGUCCUAGGAACAAUGACCGGGACCAGAGGAAGGGCCGGCUAAACUCGUGCCAGCAGCCGCGGUAAUACGAGUGGCUCGAGCGUUAAUCGGAAUCACUGGGCUUAAAGGGUGCGCAGGCGGGUCGGCAAGCAUCUUGUGAAAUCCCUCGGCUCAACCGGGGAAUU